Molecule: long non-coding RNA, 2779 nt
Organism: Falco peregrinus (peregrine falcon)
Lineage: Eukaryota; Metazoa; Chordata; Aves; Falconiformes; Falconidae
Exons: 5
Source: RefSeq, a predicted model, not a curated record
UCCUGAUUAUUUUACCCCUGGAGCUCUCGUUUCCUUAUCAAUGCUCACAAGCUUUCCUUAGCCUUUUAUUUACUGGGAGGUGCUUUUUAGAGCGUUUGCUUCUUCUGGCUGGCUUAAUUCAGCUAGAUCAUGGUGCCUCUGUUCAUGGCCUGUCUGUAAAACCCAGAGCUAAAGUGCAGCCCCUGGAAGGACCAUCAGUGAACCUCUGCUUCUCCCCAAGACCUGCAGAGGUGACACAGAAAUAACUGUGUUAGUACCAGUAGGGUUACACCCAUGCAAAACGGACACGAACAAUGGGGACUGGGGCUGCGCAGUGACCAGGAAUAAUAUCUGCUGACCCUCAGGGUGCAGUUUCCCAUUUAGGCUUAACCUGAUCUGACCGUGGGCUGCUGGUGAAAGGGUGGUCCUGCUCUUCCUGCCUGCCCCUAGGCAUAUGCUCCUGACACCUCCCUUGCGCUGGAAGCUGCAAUCCUGGAGGCUACAGAAAGGACCCACAGAAUUUUUUUCUUUUUUUGGUAAAUUAGUUUCCUGCCGGAUCAACAAGCCAAAGCGAAUCACCCUGCCACAGCAGUGUAUGAUGCAGGAGAUCACCAGGUCAGCUAAACCUAGAGUUUGACUGGAUUCAGGAUAACCAGAAAACUGAGCAUCUGUCUUCUAUACCGACCCUUUACACUACAGCCUCUGGGGAACCACCCUGCUCUCCAGCGUGCAAAACCAUCGAUGUAACAGCGCAAAGUAAGUCGUGUGGAGUAGCCGGUAUCAGGGAGAAGGGUGAGACAGAGCCUGGGUCUCAGCCCACAACCGCACCGCCCAUGGCAGCUGCCUUCUCUGUGUUUCCCACGCUCUUCCUCCAGCUGCAGUUCCACCCGGGGCCCAGCACCAACCGGACAACGCUCUGGAGGGAACCUGGGGCACUUCCACAAGCUACUUCUGCUUCAGCUGUGGCGGGAAAAAAAAAGCAAUGGGUGCAAUAGUUCUGAUCCUCUCUCCCACAGGUCCCUGGGAGCGGGGGUGGGGUGGCCGUGGAGGUGACAGCGGUCCCCUGGCUCCCUGGGCUGCGCUCCUGCCUGUGACGUGGUGUAGAAGUGGGCUACCAGCCUGCUCUGGCUGAGGCCAGGCGUCCUGCAGCGUGAAGGGCUAAUAACUGGGAAAGCCGCUGCAGCUUUAGCUCUGGUCCGGCUCCUUGCUGCACUUACUCCAGCCUCACGCCGAUACAACAGAGAUUGGCAUCGGGCUUCUCGAGUUCUGCUUGCAAGUGUCUAUGUGAUUGAGAGUUUGUGCUUCGUUUUCAAGAGGGAUUGAUGUCCGACCACAUUAAAAGAAGUGUUGUGGGAGGAAAGGCCCCUGUGCUGUGCCUGCCAUCAAUGCCCCUCUGGAGGAUGCUUCCCAGACACCUUGACUAGCCCUGCAUGAAUAAAAUGAAUUUUGCAACCUUGGUGAGUGCACUGCUCUCUGGAAGCAGAGCCACCUCAUGACCCGGACUGCGCAUGCCCACUUGGAGAGAUGUUUUUGGGAGGCUCAGGAUCCCUCUCCAUAACACUGAGCCCCACUGGGCAGAGGAGAUCAGCCUGGGGAAGAGCCCUGCCAGCCUGCCUUGCUUUUGGCACGUUGGAGGCAGUGGUACAGUUGGGCCUUCAUCCAGGAGAAGGGAAACCCUCAGCCCCUGUGUGUGGUGGGGUGAGGCUCUGUCCCUUAUGCACCUGCUAAGCUGGGGUUCAGAAGGACUGAAGUCACCCCGAGUUCCCUGGACAACUGCUCCUGCACUGAAAUUAGCUUAUGUGCAGCAUACACCUCUGCUUUGACCUCCCUGCAGAUAUAGGCUGGGCAUUUCCCUGCAAACUGCCCUUCUUUAUGCUGGCUGUGAACAACAAAAUGCCACUGCUAUGGCAGUCAUUGGAAUGAAAACCGCUUAUCGUGCCUGGGAGAGCUCACGCUAUUGCAGCUGCCCUCCGCUGUGCCUUCGUUCGUCUUCUGUUCCCAGCGCGCAGCAAAGAGGAGGCCAGGAAAUUUGGGAAGUUAAGAUACUAGCAUCAUCUGAGACACCAGUUAGCCAAAAGGACCAGCUGAGGGAAUCCCCACCCCAAGAGGUGCUGGAGAAGGCAAAGCAACGGCCUGGGGCUUGACAGGACUGAGUGGUGGGAGACCCCUGGGGCCUGCCGCAGACCUCGGCAACAUUUGAAGAGUCCAGUGUUCAGGGAGUGCUUUUGGUGACGUGCCCAGAAGAUACUGGAAAGUCUACAAACUACCAUCCACAGUUACAUAAACUAAUGGCUCCGCAGAGUGUUUAUCCUUCAUUUCCAGAGUUAGGAGUGUGGUGUUCAGCUGGUAUAAAAAGGCACGGCCAGUAGAUGACUCCUCUUCUCCUUCAUGUCUUUCAUCCAGUCGUUCUCCAUGCCACUCAAGUGAGCUCAGACUAACUGAUUUAUAGUAGCAGUCAGUAAGAAAAUAACUAGGCUUUGAGAUCCUGGCUUUCACUGAGCAAGAUCUUAAGUGGAUUAAUACACACAGUUUUGCUGACUUGCCAAUAGCCUCAGGCUUUUGAUAAGCAAGUGAUCUGGCCAACCUGAGCUCUCAAAUCACAGUCAAAAAAUUUCUCGCAGUGUUUGGAACUCUCCCCUGGAUGCUAGUUUCACAUUCCUAAGCAAAAGGUACAACAUACUAUUUUCUGGGAUUUGAGUUUGCUUGCUCUGGCACGUUACAUUAAACCCUUGAAACCCCAAACUCAUAUUUGCAAUACCAGUUGGGAAGGUUUGGGAAAUGUACAGGGCAUCGUCAGCUG